GGGGAAUCUUGCGCAAUGGGGGCAACCCUGACGCAGCCAUACCGCGUGAGUGAUGAAGGUCUUCGGAUUGUAAAGCUCUUUCGGCGGGGACGACGAUGACGGUAACCGCAAAAGAAGUCACGGCUAACUUCGUGCCAGCAGCCGCGGUAAUACGAAGGUGGCGAAUGUUGCUCGGAUUCACUGGGCGUAAAGCGUCUGUAGGUGGCUUGUUAAGUUAGAGGUGAAAGCCCCGCGCUCAACGUGGGAACUGCCUUUAAAACUGGCGAGCUUGAGAGUAUCAGAGGAAGGCGGAAUAACUGGUGUAGAGGUAAAAUUCAUAGAUAUCAGUUGGAACAUCCAUGGCGAAGGCAGCUUUCUGGGGUAUUUCUGACACUGAGAGACGAAAGCGUGGGGAGCAAACA
Molecule: ribosomal RNA, 401 nt
Filed under: uncultured bacterium
Lineage: Bacteria
Description: bacterial SSU rRNA
Rfam family: Bacterial small subunit ribosomal RNA
Source: RNAcentral